CCUACGGGAGGCAGCAGUGGGGAAUAUUGCACAAUGGGGGAAACCCUGAUGCAGCGACGCCGCGUGAGUGAAGAAGUAUUUCGGUAUGUAAAGCUCUAUCAGCAGGGAAGAAAAUGACGGUACCUGACUAAGAAGCCCCGGCUAACUACGUGCCAGCAGCCGCGGUAAUACGUAGGGGGCAAGCGUUAUCCGGAUUUACUGGGUGUAAAGGGAGCGUAGACGGCAGCACAAGCCUGGAGUGAAAGGCCGGGGCUUAACCCCGGGACUGCUUUGGAAACUGUGCAGCUAGAGUGCAGGAGAGGUAAGUGGAAUUCCUAGUGUAGCGGUGAAAUGCGUAGAUAUUAGGAGGAACACCAGUGGCGAAGGCGGCUUACUGGACUGUAACUGACGUUGAGGCUCGAAAGCGUGGGGAGCAAACAGGAUUAGAUACCCGUGUAGUC
This 440-nucleotide ribosomal RNA is filed under the name uncultured bacterium. RNAcentral describes it as "partial 16S ribosomal RNA". It matches the Rfam family "Bacterial small subunit ribosomal RNA", at positions 338 to 795 of the family's 1533-position model. The record is from RNAcentral.